GGGGGGCAGCCUCGACGGGCUGCGGUCUGUCGUGGGCCGUGACGUCCGCCGCGAUGGGAGGCUGUGUCUGCUGUCCCGGCGGACUUCCGAGGCUGCUUUCUGCAGACGCUGCCCGCCUCCGUACCGCCGGCCCAGAUACCAGAUACUAGCCCAGGCCGCCUCCCGCCGCUCCAGCGUCCCUCCUUCGAAGCGCAGACGCCGGCAGCCACCCGCCCCAGAGCCGGCCCCCCGCCUGUCCCUGCCCGCAGAUGCCUCCCGCUGACACCCGGCCCGGACGCUUGCCGACACCGCUGCCUGCCAUUGCCUUCUCCCGCUGACACCGACUUCGCUGCCUUUGCCAACGCUCGCGGACGCCCAGCGCCUUCGGCAGCCAGACGUCACCGCCUCCUACCCCAGACUCCUGCCACCACCAGCAGGGACCCUCCUUCACGGGGACCGGGCCCCCUCGUUCCCACGCAGGCCUGGCCGCCGUGCAGCAGCCUCAGCUCAUAGUAAGUAGCUGCCCCCACGCUGGCUUUUUGAUCAGGGGGUUUGGGGGUGGUGCAUGGGCCCUGGGAGGAAAGUAGAAAGGUAUGGGUGGGCGUGGAAAAGAUGCAUGCACUUACCCAGCCAGGAAGGUGACCUGAUCUCAGCCAGUAGCUUGCCAGGCCCGCCAGCUUCUCUGACUGCAGCUAGUGCUUUCGGUGUCAGGUCCCUGGGCACGCGGGCAAGGGCGCUAGGAGGGUGCAUCCGCUGGGGAGGGGGUUCCUCCUGUACUCCCAGGCUGGUCAGCGCGGGCGUCCAGGGGGUGUAUAGGUCCUUAAAGAGAGGCUUGACUUUGUCUAAUAUUUGGUAAAAGUUUUGUGAGUAAACUAGCAUAACUGUUGUGAACGAGUAAACCAAGUGUAGCAAGUAAACAUCUUAAUAAUUGUGUGUUACAGCAUAUUACAGUGUGUAUACCUACAAACAGCCUGAGAAUCUUUGUGGUAACCUAAAACCUGCAAGUUUUGCCAAGUUAAGUAGACAUAUUUUAUACUUAGAGAUUGUGCUGUAAAGCACACGGUUCCAGUAAUUAUAAAAUGUGUUCAUAAAUUUGUCAAUCUAAAGAAUGCUAGUGUAACAGUUUACAAUAGCCUACUUCUCAGUGUUCACUGGAAAUUAAAGUUCCUAAUGGUUUUAAGUUCUAAUUAUAACUACUUGAAGUAAUAAGGAAAACAUUUCUGCAUAAGAAUAUGUCUUUUGAUAAAAGAAAGUAGCUUUGCUCUAAAGUACAGCUGUUUAUUUAAAGAAGGAAAACUGUAAAAAGAAAGUUGUAGAAAGUUUAUGGAAACAUUAUUGAUAUGGUCAUGCUAUGUGAAAUUAAAGCAAAUCAGUCUUGCUAUCAAGUACAUAGCAAAACUAGAAUUUUUUCUGUUAACAGAACUAAGGUUUAUUAGUCUACUGUUAAUGCUGAAAGAUUGCAAAGGGUUUUCCUAUUGUUUUAUCAAAACAGUUUCUCAUGCUUAAAGUCUCAGUGAGUUGCCUGAGUAUUUAAGAAAAUGAGAUCUUACUAUUAAAAGGACUAAAAGCUAAGCUUUGCUAACAACUGUGUAACUGCCUGUAUUUGCCUUUAAAAUCUUUUAUUGUCAUUCUGGUUAAAUAGGUAAGUAUUGUUUCAUAGUGACCUAUGAUUCUAUUUAGGCAAGUGCCUUAAAAAUUUUCUAACAGCUUCCCAAAAUCAAAUUCAAAAAGGUGCUUUUUACCUCUAGUUCACUCUGAUAUUUUCCAGAGGGCCCCUGGAACAUGUGAGAGGAAUUUUUUCUCCUCAUCGGGGAAAAUAUUUGGCUAAUUUGGCUUAUUCAUCUGAUAUAUAUUUACCUGGAAAGCACCAUCAAAGGGAAUGAUGCUAAACUUUGUUACUGAAUGUCUUAUGUUACAGAAAAAUCCAAAUUUUCUUCUGUCACCUGUCUUAUAGUAAGCUCUCAUCAGAUCUUUAACCAUUGUCAUUUGUAGGUCUUUUGUCAUAUAAAGUCACUGUUUUAUUACUCCUAAACUUGUAAAGAACUAGGUUUCAACAGAGCAAGUAUUAGUUACGUAAGAUUAAGUAAACUAAGGAAAAAAAUGUUAUGACUUUUUGUUUCAAAUGUUGCUGAUAAAGUGUUUUAAACUUUUCCUCUUAAAUGGAUGACAGUUUAGUAAAUGACAAUACCUUUGUAAGCAGAAUUGAAACAUUUAUCUUUCUCUCUGCCUGAUCCCUCCAGAAUUUAUAAAACUCUCAAUGAGUAUUUUUUUAUUUUUUAUUUUAUGGCAGUAUGUUUAUUUGCAUAAGUGCAAGAAGAAUCUGCUUUCCUUAUAAGAAGAUGAAUUAAAAACACUAGUUAUAGUACCUAGGCUUUGACUGAAAUGUCAUACCUGAGAGACACGUGUGUAAACUGAUAUGAACAAGAUAGCUUUAAGGAACUAAGGUUGACUUUAUAGAACCAAUAAAGCCCCUUGGAAGAACUGGCCUGGUACCUUGCUUACAGGGUUCCCAGCAGCCUUACUAGGUGAGUAAAGAAGGUCACUUCCUGGCAGGUGUGGGAACCUCAGGAAUGUCUUGGGAACCUCAAGAAGAGAGGAAUUCCCCCAAACCUACAGGUACUGCAGGCAAAACCUAAUGGCAACUCUGGCUUAGCUUUCUGGUCUUGAGGGGCGUUUAAAAGUCCAAUCUGAAAUUCCUUAUAAGAAGUUCCAGCCAAGCACAUUUAAAAGAGCCUAUGUAAUCAAUUGCUCUUCUUGCUGCACUUAUGUAAAUAAUCAAACCAAGUGUUAACUAUUUUCUUAAUCUGGUUACUUCUAAUAAAAAUGAGGGUGAUUUUAGAGAAAAGUAUUGUUUCAAUAAUGCAGCCUUUUCUAUAUUGAGCCUUAAUACUAAUCAUUGGGACAAACUAGAUCCAGAAUUCUAGUUUCCCCAAAAUAUCUGGCUAAGAAAAGACACAUGCAAAGAUGUUCCACAUCACUAAUCAUCAGGGAAAUGCAAAUUAAAACCAUAAUGAGAUACCACCUCCCACCAGUAAGGAUGGCCAGCAUCGAAAAGACUAAGAACAACAAAUACUGCCGAGGAUGCGGAGAGAGGGAAACCCUCCCACACUGCUGGUGGGAAUGUAAGCUAGUUCAGCCAUUGUGGAAAGCAAUAUGGAGGUUCCUUAAAAACUAAAAAUAGAAAUACCAUUUGACCCAGGAAUCCCACUCCUUGGAAUUUACCCAAAGAAUACAACUUCUCAGAUUCAAAAAGACAUAUGCACCCCCAUGUUUAUCGCAGCACUUUUUACGAUAGCCAAGAUAUGGAAGCAACCUAAGUGUCCAUCAGUAGAUGAAUGGAUAAAGAAGAGGUAGUACAUAUACACCAUGGAAUACUAUUCAUCCAUAAGAAAGAAACAAAUCCUACCAUUUGCAACAACAUGGAUGGAGCUGGAGGACAUUAUGCUCAGUGAAAUAAACCACGUGGAGAAGGACAAGUGCCAAAUGAUUUCCCUCAUUUGUGGAGUACAACAACAAAGCAAAACUGAAGGAACAAAAUAGCAGCAGACUCAGAGACUCCAAGUAGGAAUGAGUGGUUACCAAAGGGGAGGGGUGUGGGAGGACGGGUGGGGAGGGAGGGAGAAGGGGAUUGGGGGGUAUUAUAGUUAGUUCACAUGGUGUGGGGGAUCACGGGGAAAACAGUGUAGCACAGAGAAGGCCAAUAGUGAAUCUGUGGCAUCUUACUACACUGAUGGACAGUGACUGCAUUGGGGUCUGGGUGGGGACUUGACAAUAUGGGUAAAUUUAGUAACCACAUUGUCUAUUCAUGUGAAACCUUCAUCAGAGUGUAUAUCAAUAAUACCUUAAUAAAAAAUUAAAAAAUA
Manis pentadactyla (Chinese pangolin) is the source of this 3842-nucleotide long non-coding RNA. RefSeq lists it as uncharacterized. The record is from RefSeq and is a predicted model, not a curated record. The transcript has 2 exons. NCBI's taxonomy places the organism in Eukaryota, Metazoa, Chordata, Mammalia, Pholidota, Manidae.